RNAcentral lists this ribosomal RNA (440 nucleotides) under uncultured bacterium. Its description in RNAcentral is "partial 16S ribosomal RNA". It matches the Rfam family "Bacterial small subunit ribosomal RNA", at positions 338 to 795 of the family's 1533-position model. The record is from RNAcentral.
CCUACGGGGGGCAGCAGUGGGGAAUAUUGCACAAUGGGGGAAACCCUGAUGCAGCGACGCCGCGUGAGUGAAGAAGUAUUUCGGUACGUAAAGCUCUAUCAGCAGGGAAGAAAAUGACGGUACCUGACUAAGAAGCCCCGGCUAACUACGUGCCAGCAGCCGCGGUAAUACGUAGGGGGCAAGCGUUAUCCGGAUUUACUGGGUGUAAAGGGAGCGUAGACGGCAGCGCAAGUCUGGAGUGAAAUCCCAUGGCUUAACCAUGGAACUGCUUUGGAAACUGUGCAGCUAGAGUGCAGGAGAGGUAAGCGGAAUUCCUAGUGUAGCGGUGAAAUGCGUAGAUAUCAGGAGGAACACCAGUGGCGAAGGCGGCUUACUGGACUGUAACUGACGUUGAGGCUCGAAAGCGUGGGGAGCAAACAGGAUUAGAUACCCGAGUAGUC